This 492-nucleotide ribosomal RNA is filed under the name uncultured bacterium. RNAcentral describes it as "partial 16S ribosomal RNA". It matches the Rfam family "Bacterial small subunit ribosomal RNA", at positions 29 to 507 of the family's 1533-position model. The record is from RNAcentral.
AGCGAACGCUGGCGGCAUGCUUAACACAUGCAAGUCGAACGGCAGCACCGUAAUUGCUUGCUCUUAUGGGUGGCGUCUGGUGGCCGGGUGAGGAAUACAUCGUAAUCUAUUUUUUCGUGGGGGAUAACUUAGCCAAACUUACGCUAUUACCUUCUACGACCUACUGGUGAAUGCAGCGGAUCUUCGGACCUUGUUCUCUUGAAUGAGCCGAUGUCGGAUUAGCUAGUCGGCGGGGUAAUGGCCCACCAAGGCGACGAUCCGUAGCUGGUCUGAGAGGAUGAGCGGCGACACUGGAACUGAGACACGGUCCAGACUCCUACGGGAGGCAGCAGUGGGGGAUAUGAGACAAUGGGCGCGAGCCGGAUCCAGACAUAGCGCGUGGGUGAAGAAGACGUUCGGGUUGUAAAGCCCUUUUGUUGGGAAAGAAAAGCAGCAGGUUAAUACCCAGCUGUUCUGACGGUACCCGAAGAAUAAGCACCGGCUAACUUCGUG